GUGGGGCGGGCCUGGAGUCACGAGGACAGGAGAGACCAAUCCGAACUCGCGAGGGGGGGGUCCCUCAGCGGCCCCGCCCCUGGGACGAGCGACCCCUCCACCCAGCGCGGCGGGGGAACCCCGAGGGUAGGCUGGGAGGAGCCAGGGUGCCGAGCACCCACCGCUCACUGGAAGUCUGCGUGCGGUUAGCUGAUGAAGGAACAAAAGACAUAGUUCCUGCAAGCAUCAAACCAGGGCCCAAGCUUGGGAGGCAAGUCUGUUGUGGAGAGCCUCCAGCCACUAUGCCAAGAAGGGCCUCCAUGUUUGCCACUGACCAUGAGCUCACCCACAGAGCUGACGGAGAGGUCUUGACAAUCCAUGGAAUUUAGGGGAGCCUGACCGUGGCUACAACCCUAGUCUGUGGUGGUGUACCCAAAGGAGCUCCCUGGGUCUUGUCCUCUCUCAGAUAUCCUCCCCGCUGCACCUCACCCUGGGAUACUGCCCCACACCUGGGUCAUUGCAGCCCCCUCCCUGCCGUGCAGGAGAGGGCCCCAUACUGGACACUGGGAGCCCUGAGUGCGAGUCUCACUUCUGCCAACAACAACCACUGUGUAUUUUGGGGCAAGUCCCUUAACCUCUCUGGGUCUUGAAUCCCUUAGCUGUAGGAGGGAGAUAAUAAUCCUAUAAGGCCCUCAAGUGUUGCUUUGAGAAGCAAGAUAAUGAGUGUGAAAAUCUUUCAUUUACUCUAAAGUGUGAGUAGCAUUUAUUAUUAUUUAUCCUGGAAACCCUUCCUUGGGGCCCUCCUAAGUGAACCUAAGAGUGAAUGGUUAGUAAUGAACUUUUAGUUUCCCCUCCCAGACCAUUAUUUGCACUUGUAACCAAGAUGUUCCAUGCCUGCAUUCAGAGGAAAGAGUAGGGAAUAAAUUUGAGGUUCGCAGACAUACUGGGGGAGAACAUUCCCAAGCAGGAGGUCCUGCUUCCUUCACUGGAUGCUCAGCAGACCUCACGAUCUCUCCUCAUGAAAGGAUGGACAUCGGUAUCUGUGUCAGGGAACUCUUUGAGCAGAAGGCUGAGGGGGGGAAGUGUCCAAGGACAAACACUUGCUGGGGAACAACUUCACAACAUCCUCCAUUUGACACUCACUUGGGAGCUAGCUGAUGCGUCCAUGAGACUGUUCUCAGCAGAACACACCACGACAUUGGGAAGAGAAAAGAAUUCUUUUCCCUGAAUUCCUGUGUUACAUUAGUGAAAGGAGAGAAGAGGGCCAAAAAUUUCGUAAUGUUUGAAGGCCCCUUUCCUGGUGCAGGUGUUCGCCUGCAUUCCAAUAGGUCGGUGGCUGCUUUCUCUCUUGCUCAAUACUUCCUCCUGCAUUCAAUCCACAUUCUUGUUUCCUGUCCAGAGUUCCCCACUCCUGUUCCAGCAAUUUCUGUUCUCUAGGCCCCCAUUUCCUCCUCCUCAUCCCUCAAAUACAGACCC
Mustela erminea (ermine) is the source of this 1455-nucleotide long non-coding RNA. RefSeq lists it as uncharacterized. The transcript has 3 exons. Lineage: Eukaryota; Metazoa; Chordata; Mammalia; Carnivora; Mustelidae. The record is from RefSeq and is a predicted model, not a curated record.